GGGCCCAUAGUUCAGUGGUACAGCAUUUGCUUUGCAUGCAGAAGAUUCUAGUUUCAAUCCCCAGCAACUCCAGGUGGGUCUG
Molecule: non-coding RNA, 82 nt
Organism: Podarcis lilfordi (Lilford's wall lizard)
Lineage: Eukaryota; Metazoa; Chordata; Lepidosauria; Squamata; Lacertidae
Source: the annotation of a GenBank genome assembly